AGAACGAACGCUGGCGGCAGGCUUAACACAUGCAAGUCGAACGGGCGUAGCAACACGUCAGUGGCGCACGGGUGAGUAACGCGUGGGCAACCUACCUGGUGGUACGGAAUAACUGCGGGAAACUGCAGCUAAUACCGUAUGUCCCCUACGGGGGAAAGAUUUAUCGCCAUCAGAUGGGCCCGCGUAGGAUUAGCUAGUUGGUGAGGUAACGGCUCACCAAGGCGACGAUCCUUAGCUGGUCUGAGAGGAUGAUCAGCCACACUGGGACUGAGACACGGCCCAGACUCCUACGGGAGGCAGCAGUGGGGAAUAUUGGACAAUGGGCGCAAGCCUGAUCCAGCAAUGCCGCGUGUGUGAAGAAGGCCUUCGGGUUGUAAAGCACUUUUAUCAGGAACGAAAUACCAUUGGUUAAUAACCGGUGGGCUGACGGUACCUGAGGAAUAAGCACCGGCUAACUUCGUGCCAGCAGCCGCGGU
Molecule: ribosomal RNA, 476 nt
Filed under: uncultured bacterium
Lineage: Bacteria
Description: SSU rRNA
Rfam family: Bacterial small subunit ribosomal RNA
Source: RNAcentral